ACGGGAGGCAGCAGUGAGGAAUAUUGGUCAAUGGGCGAGAGCCUGAACCAGCCAAGUAGCGUGAAGGAUGACGGCCCUACGGGUUGUAAACUUCUUUUGCCGGGGGAUAAAAAACGGGACGCGCCCCGUCUUGCAGGUACCCGUGCGAAUAAGGACCGGCUAAUUCCGUGCCAGCAGCCGCGGUAAUACGGAAGGUCCGGGCGUUAUCCGGAUUUAUUGGGUUUAAAGGGAGCGUAGGCGGGCUUUUAAGUCAGCUGUGAAAUCCUGCGGCUCAACCGUGGAAUUGCAGUUGAUACUGGGAGUCUUGAGUGCACGCAGGGAUGCCGGAAUUCGUUGUGUAGCGGUGAAAUGCUUAGAUAUGACGAAGAACUCCGAUCGCGAAGGCAAGUGUCCGGAGUGCGACUGACGCUGAGGCUCGAAAGUGCGGGUAUCAAACAGGAUUAGAUACCCUGGUA
RNAcentral lists this ribosomal RNA (455 nucleotides) under uncultured Paraprevotella sp. RNAcentral describes it as "partial 16S ribosomal RNA". It matches the Rfam family "Bacterial small subunit ribosomal RNA", at positions 341 to 792 of the family's 1533-position model. The record is from RNAcentral. Lineage: Bacteria; Pseudomonadati; Bacteroidota; Bacteroidia; Bacteroidales; Prevotellaceae.